CAGCCGCCACGGUAAUACGAAGGGGGCUAGCGUUGUUCGGAUUUACUGGGCGUAAAGCGCACGUAGGCGGAUCCUUAAGUCAGAGGUGAAAUCCCAAGGCUCAACCUUGGAACUGCCUUUGAUACUGGGGAUCUCGAGCUCGGGAGAGGUGAGUGGAACUGCGAGUGUAGAGGUGAAAUUCGUAGAUAUUCGCAAGAACACCAGUGGCGAAGGCGGCUCACUGGCCCGAUACUGACGCUGAGGUGCGAAAGCGUGGGGAGCAAACAGGAUUAGAGACCCCCGUAGUCCCUGUCUCUUAUAC
Molecule: ribosomal RNA, 301 nt
Filed under: uncultured bacterium
Lineage: Bacteria
Description: partial 16S ribosomal RNA
Rfam family: Bacterial small subunit ribosomal RNA
Source: RNAcentral